Molecule: non-coding RNA, 145 nt
Organism: Caenorhabditis elegans
Lineage: Eukaryota; Metazoa; Nematoda; Chromadorea; Rhabditida; Rhabditidae
Source: Ensembl
GAAUAGGUUAUGGACAAAAUAGGCGCGAAUAUAUAUAUAGUACGGUAUUUUGCGGGAUUUCGAUGCACGAUCUAACUUUCUAUAGUGCCCGUAUUAUACAACUGGCCAGGCUGGCUUGGCCCACCGCGCGGGUAAAGUUGGCCGC